This 433-nucleotide ribosomal RNA is filed under the name uncultured bacterium. Its description in RNAcentral is "partial 16S ribosomal RNA". It matches the Rfam family "Bacterial small subunit ribosomal RNA", at positions 29 to 507 of the family's 1533-position model. The record is from RNAcentral.
AGCGAACGCUGGCGGCAGGCCUAACACAUGCAAGUCGAACGAACUCUUCGGAGUUAGUGGCGGACGGGUGAGUAACACGUGGGAACGUGCCUUUUGGUUCGGAAUAACUCGGGGAAACUUGUGCUAAUACCGAAUGUGCCCUUCGGGGGAAAGAUUUAUCGCCAUUAGAGCGGCCCGCGUCUGAUUAGCUAGUUGGUGAGGUAACGGCUCACCAAGGCGACGAUCAGUAGCUGGUCUGAGAGGAUGACCAGCCACACUGGGACUGAGACACGGCCCAGACUCCUACGGGAGGCAGCAGUGGGGAAUCUUGCGCAAUGGGCGAAAGCCUGACGCAGCCAUGCCGCGUGAAUGAUGAAGGUCUUAGGAUUGUAAAAUUCUUUCACCGGGGACGAUAAUGACGGUACCCGGAGAAGAAGCCCCGGCUAACUUCGUG